UGGGGAAUUUUGCGCAAUGGGGGAAACCCUGACGCAGCAACGCCGCGUGGAGGAUGAAGUCUCUUGGGACGUAAACUCCUUUCGAUCGGGACGAUAAUGACGGUACCGAUAGAAGAAGCCCCGGCUAACUUCGUGCCAGCAGCCGCGGUAAUACGAGGGGGGCAAGCGUUGUUCGGAAUUAUUGGGCGUAAAGGGUGCGUAGGCGGUCUGGUAAGUCUUGUGUGAAAUCUUCAGGCUCAACCUGAAGUCUGCAUGAGAAACUGCCGGGCUUGAGUAUGGGAGAGGUGAGUGGAAUUUCCGGUGUAGCGGUGAAAUGCGUAGAUAUCGGAAGGAACACCUGUGGCGAAAGCGGCUCACUGGACCAUAACUGACGCUGAGGCACGAAAGCUAGGGGAGCAAACAGG
This 404-nucleotide ribosomal RNA is filed under the name uncultured Acidobacteriaceae bacterium. Its description in RNAcentral is "bacterial SSU rRNA". It matches the Rfam family "Bacterial small subunit ribosomal RNA", at positions 355 to 776 of the family's 1533-position model. Lineage: Bacteria; Pseudomonadati; Acidobacteriota; Terriglobia; Terriglobales; Acidobacteriaceae. The record is from RNAcentral.